AACGAACGCUGGCGGCAUGCCUAACACAUGCAAGUCGAACGAGAUCUUCGGGUCUAGUGGCGCACGGGUGCGUAACGCGUGGGAAUCUGCCCUUUGGUUCGGAAUAACAGUUGGAAACGACUGCUAAUACCGGAUGAUGACGAAAGUCCAAAGAUUUAUCGCCAGAGGAUGAGCCCGCGUAGGAUUAGCUAGUUUGUGUGGUAAAGGCGCACCAAGGCGACGAUCCUUAGCUGGUCUGAGAGGAUGAUCAGCCACACUGGGACUGAGACACGGCCUAGACUCCUACGGGAGGCAGCAGUGGGGAAUAUUGGACAAUGGGCGAAAGCCUGAUCCAGCAAUGCCGCGUGAGUGAUGAAGGCCUUAGGGUUGUAAAGCUCUUUUACCCGGGAUGAUAAUGACAGUACCGGAAGAAUAAGCUCCGGCUAACUCCGUGCCAGCCGCCGCAGUAA
Molecule: ribosomal RNA, 449 nt
Filed under: uncultured bacterium
Lineage: Bacteria
Description: partial 16S ribosomal RNA
Rfam family: Bacterial small subunit ribosomal RNA
Source: RNAcentral